CUCAGCAAGAGGCUGACAUGCCUGGACUUUCUGCCCGGGAGGAGGGCUGAGCUUUUGGGGCCUGCUUCCAUAGGCAUACAGCCCAAACGCGCAGUCACACCAGCUAUGAAACCUCACAUGGGUGGAGGUUUGCAAGGUCAGCUCCACAAUCAUCCAGGUGAGUGUGACUAUGCUGCCUGGAGGAUUUCUUGCCUGGCACUCUCUGCAGCUUCCACCUGGCUCUGAGGUCCAUAUCCUGCCUCCAGCAGUAUCUGCACAAGGGUCACCUGGAAUGGUCCGGGCAUUCCCAUAUGAGCAGGAAAGAGCUACUCCUUCCAAUGUCAGACUUGCUUUCUCAUCCAGCAGGUUAGAGAAAGCUAGGACAUAA
RNAcentral lists this long non-coding RNA (367 nucleotides) under Apteryx rowi (Okarito brown kiwi). Its description in RNAcentral is "lncRNA (ENSARWG00000001247.1)". Lineage: Eukaryota; Metazoa; Chordata; Aves; Apterygiformes; Apterygidae. The record is from RNAcentral.